UGGGCUUCGACUUCACUGGCUUCGGUAUCGAUUGGCGAGACUAGUUCAGCAAGGUCACACUCAGCUGCUGAAAGGAGAUGAGAAGGUAGGGUUGAAUUAUCUUAAACGGAGGUAAAAUUUGUUUUCAGAUUAAAGCUGUAUUUGGUUGUAUGAUUCCUGAUACAGCCGGUAGGAACGAGAUUAGCCAUUGCCGGAUUUUUCGUACCUGUAAGAUUUGCCUCUAUUUCUA
RNAcentral lists this unclassified non-coding RNA (229 nucleotides) under Hevea brasiliensis (rubber tree). Lineage: Eukaryota; Viridiplantae; Streptophyta; Magnoliopsida; Malpighiales; Euphorbiaceae. The record is from RNAcentral.